Non-coding RNA from Odocoileus virginianus texanus, 2589 nucleotides. The record is from RefSeq and is a predicted model, not a curated record. Lineage: Eukaryota; Metazoa; Chordata; Mammalia; Artiodactyla; Cervidae.
CUUGCGGACGGUGUCCCGGAUGCUGAGGGCCCGCGACGGUUUGUGGGGCUUGCAGUCCGGUUGCGUUACUUCUUAACUGCGUUUCCAGGAUAAUGAUUACCUCGCCUCCCUACUUAUCCCAGCUUGGGCUCGGUUCUGAUGCGGGUCCCUAACAGUGGGCCUUUGAGCUGCAGGCACCUGGACUCCGCCAACAUCCUCAUUCCUGCGACGGGACCAAGCAUGAAGGAAAGUCGGCCUGCUGGAAAUCCGCUUGAGAAAGUUCUGCUAACGAAGACCAGUACAACCCACUGCUCUGUUCCCGCGCCUUUGCUGAGGCGCUCCGUAAACCUUUACCAGCCCUGAAACCUGGAACUCCACACGACUUGAGUCCCUCAACUCGACACCUGGCCCGACCAACGUGUUUCCAGUACAUUAAGGGCCAAGAACGAAUUUAAUCUCCGUCUAGCAUAGUCUCAGGUACACGACAAGUUGCAGGAGCGUCGAAAAGCAUCAGAGGAAGGGCCUGGGUUUGAGUAGGGAGUUCGACUCAUAACCCACUCUCGUGCUCUGGCCUUCAGCCUUUCUACUGGGGAAAAUGUCUCCUCCCCUCUUCCCGCCAGUUGGGCGAAGUUCUUGACAGAUAUUUUAACACUUUAUUAACAAAGUUAACAUUUAACUUUGUUUUCCAUAUUGAAUCUAUUCAAAACCCUUGUUGUACAGGCUAAUUACAUUUUAUUAGAUAACGUUAAAUAAUGAUAAUUUCAUUAAACAUUCGAUUAACCUACGUGGGCUGAAUGGAAAUUUUUCAUGUUUGAGAUUGAUACAUAUCUAUUUUAUGUUGUUCCGAGUAACUUCAUAUCAGAAGCCAAACCUAAGUUGAGAAACUGGUAUUUCUUAAAACAGACCAAAUCAAUUGUUUAAGCCCUAGGGGUGUUUGAAGAUGAAAAAUUCAGAAAGGACAAAAAAGUUGUGUAAAUUGUGGUGUAUUGCUUUAAUCCUAUUGUUAAAUCCAAGUGAUCAACUUAUCGGUUGUCCUCCAAAUUACUCAAGUGUGAUUUGAUUGAAGAAAUACAGUUCAGCGUGCUAGAUUUUUAAUGAGUGUAUACCACGAGCUUCAGAAUAAGUGUGUGCUAGUAGAAUUGAGAGAUGAUAUCAUCCAAACUGCUUAAUUUAGAGAAGAGGAAACCGAAACUCAGAGAGGUUAAGUAACUUGUGCAAAGUUACUCAGCCAAGUACGUGACAGAACAGGAAUUAGGACAGUAACCUACAUGCUGCCUCAUAUUCUGCAUUGUUUUGAUUGUAUUAGCAUUUUCGGUUGCUCCCUAUUUUUGUGUUGUUUUUCCUCCUUUGCAUUCACUUAGGGUUAGGAAAAAGAAAAACCUAGCGGUAAGACUGCCAAGUAAGAGGGACAGAUUAUUUCCACUAAUCUUAAAUGGAUGCAUGCAAAUCCAUAACUAGUUUCGUUUAUCUCUAAUAAUUAGCAAAACUGGGGUCGGGGAUGUGUGGGGUGGGGAUGGAUCACUACUGUAUUCUGUAGAAAGCAUGAGAACAGCUAGGACUCUGGAACUCCUAGAAAAGACUUGAAACACAAAAGUGGGUGUUAAUUUAGGAUCCCGUUCCUUCUCCAGGCCAUCUGAGCAGUCAAUAAGAUGGCAGGAUAUUUUUCUGGUUACAUUCAAGGACAUUUGACAGUCUUACCUGGGGUAUAAUCAGUGCCCUGUUUUUCAGCUUUACACAAUUUCUGAGAACAGGGCAAGAACCUUCAUCUUGGUUUCUCUUCUCAGCCUGGCAUGAAAUAAUGUUUCCUCUACCCUAAACUUUGAGCAGAGGAAAGAAACUAAAGUUGACUUUAUUCUGAUAUAAAAGUUUAUAGAUAUAUGAUAAUUAAAUACAUAGUGUGUGUGUUAUGAUUGAGAGGGUCGAAAUAACGAAUUUGGAGUUAGAGUUUGGGCCAAAGGUGUUUUUUGCCAUAGCUGCUUUAAAUCAAACUGUGCAUUUUUUCCCGCUCACUUUUGAUUAGAGGGGGAACUUUUGACAUCAGAUGUAAAUUCCUGAGGUAUUUGUAUUUAUGUAGUAUAAUUCUCCGUUGGAAUCUAUAUGUACCUGAUUUUUCUGCUUUUUAAAAUAAUUUAAAAUAUUCGGUGAAUCCAGGGUAAAAACUGCGGAGUAGAAUGUCCAAGGCUUUGUUUCAAUUUUCUGAACUUUGUUUGGCUGGCCUUAACCUUAAGCCUGCUUUGAUAUUUUAUGUAAGUGAAUCAUCUGAAGAACUAAGUAUUAAAAUCCACUCAAGACAUGUAGGCAAAGGUAGGGAUUACCAUUUUUAUGUUUCUUCAGAAGUAAUAUAUUCCAGGAUAGACCAUUAAAUACAAAGGACCAUAUUUAACUUAGAUGACUUUUGUUUAUUCUUUAGGGACUUCCAAAUACUGGUUUAGAAUUGACUAUUCCCAUUCUGGCUGUAGUGAUUUCGUUCAGUUGAAUUACAUAAUUAAAAAAAAUAUGUUGUCUAGUAAGUUACUCCUUGUUUAACUGUAAGCAUAUUGAAAUCACAGUGUGUUGUGAUGGUCUAAGGACAUACAAAACAGUCCUUAUAAAUAAAAUAAUUUAUUGACA